GAUGAAGAACGCAGCGAAAUGCGAUAAGUAGUGUGAAUUGCAGAAUUCAGUGAAUCAUCGAAUCUUUGAACGCACAUUGCGCCCUUUGGUAUUCCAAAGGGCAUGCCUGUUCGAGCGUCAUUUGUACCCUCAAGCUUUGCUUGGUGUUGGGCGUCUUGUCUCUAGCUUUGCUGGAGACUCGCCUUAAAGUAAUUGGCAGCCGGCCUACUGGUUUCGGAGCGCAGCACAAGUCGCACUCUCUAUCAGCAAAGGUCUAGCAUCCAUUAAGCCGUUUUUUCAACUUUUGACCUCGGAUCAGGUAGGGAUACCCGCUGAACUUAAGCAUAUCAAAAGCGGAGGA
Molecule: unclassified non-coding RNA, 340 nt
Filed under: soil metagenome
Description: partial contains 5.8S ribosomal RNA, internal transcribed spacer 2, and large subunit ribosomal RNA
Rfam family: 5.8S ribosomal RNA (bases 1-120)
Source: RNAcentral